Molecule: ribosomal RNA, 493 nt
Filed under: uncultured Actinomycetes bacterium
Lineage: Bacteria; Bacillati; Actinomycetota; Actinomycetes
Description: bacterial SSU rRNA
Rfam family: Bacterial small subunit ribosomal RNA
Source: RNAcentral
UGGGGAAUAUUGCACAAUGGGCGGAAGCCUGAUGCAGCGACGCCGCGUGAGGGAUGACGGCCUUCGGGUUGUAAACCUCUUUCAGCAGGGACGAAGCGCAAGUGACGGUACCUGCAGAAGAAGCGCCGGCCAACUACGUGCCAGCAGCCGCGGUAAGACGUAGGGCGCGAGCGUUGUCCGGAUUUAUUGGGCGUAAAGAGCUCGUAGGCGGCUUGUCGCGUCGAAUGUGAAAACUCGGGGCUCAACUCCGAGCUUGCAUUCGAUACGGGCAGGCUAGAGUUCGGUAGGGGAGACUGGAAUUCCUGGUGUAGCGGUGAAAUGCGCAGAUAUCAGGAGGAACACCGGUGGCGAAGGCGGGUCUCUGGGCCGAUACUGACGCUGAGGAGCGAAAGCGUGGGGAGCGAACAGGAUUAGAUACCCUGGUAGUCCACGCUGUAAACGUUGGGCGCUAGGUGUGGGGACCCGUCUCCGGGUUUCUGCGCCGCAGCUAACG